Ctenocephalides felis (cat flea) is the source of this 502-nucleotide long non-coding RNA. RefSeq lists it as uncharacterized. The record is from RefSeq and is a predicted model, not a curated record. Lineage: Eukaryota; Metazoa; Arthropoda; Insecta; Siphonaptera; Pulicidae. The transcript is spliced from 3 exons.
AGUAUAAUUUAUUUGUUGGUUACUGUGCUAAAAGCCUAAUUAUUUUUAUAAGGCCCCCGUUUGGAGAUGUCUCAAAAAAAACUAGAACUUAUUAUUUGGAUAUGAAAAUUUAGUUUUCGACAAUGCUACAAGAUACUAAAGGAUUGGAGCCUAAGUCUCGGUUUGAAUCCUAAAUUGCCUCGAAUAACAUAUGUGAUUAAUAUGAAAGAAUAUCGAGAGGUUUUUAACAGCAAAACAAGGAAUAAAUGAAAGGUGAAAUAGUACAUACUGAAUGGGCUACAAUGGAAUUAAGGCAAAUUGUGAAUAUUGAGAGUGAAGAUGUUAGAAGUAUCUCGAUAAAAAAAGUAUCAAAGCUUAAUAAUGCUCAACAAUAAUUCUAAUAGUUGCAUUGUUUGUUUGCAAAAAAAUAUAAUUGUAUUUGAAAAUUGUCAUCCUAAUUUGGAAUUAUGUAAUAAAGUUUCUGUAUAUUUGUGUGUCGAGAUAGCUUGGUUAGCUUUAAUAA